RNAcentral lists this ribosomal RNA (738 nucleotides) under Savoryella bambusicola. Its description in RNAcentral is "Savoryella sp. XY-2023a partial large subunit ribosomal RNA". It matches the Rfam family "Eukaryotic large subunit ribosomal RNA", at positions 133 to 884 of the family's 3401-position model. Lineage: Eukaryota; Fungi; Ascomycota; Sordariomycetes; Savoryellales; Savoryellaceae. The record is from RNAcentral.
GGGGUCCGAGUUGUAAUCUGCAGAUGGGUUUUCGGCGAAGGCGCGCGCCCAAGUUCCCUGGAAUGGGACGCCGUAGAGGGUGAGAGCCCCGUACGAGCGUUGCGACCUUGCCAUUACGAUGCCCAUUCGACGAGUCGAGUAGUUUGGAAAUGCUGCUCUAAUUGCGGGGUAAAUCUCCCGUAAGGCUAAAUACCGGCCGGAGACCGAUAGCGAACAAGUAGCGUGAGCGAAAGAUGAAAAGAGCCUUGGAUAAGGGCGUCAAAAAGCAUGUGAAAUUGUUAUGGGGGAAGCGCUCGUCGCCAGACGCGGCGGCGGCCGAUCUUCCGGCGUUCUCGCCGGCGUACUCGGACCGCCGCCGGGCCAGCAUCGGCUGGGGCCGGGGCUCACUGCCGCGGGGAACGUGGCCCUCCCCUCGGGGAGGGUGUUAUAGCCCCACGGCGACGCCCUGUUCCCGGCCGAGGACCGCGAAUUUUUCGAGGAUGCUGGCUUAAUGGCGCCCAGCGACCCGUCUUGAAACACGGACCAAGGAGUUGACCUGCCGCGCGAGUGUACGGGUGCAAAGCCCCUGCGCGUAGUGAAAGCGAACGCUGGUGGGAGCCCUCGCGGGCGCACCACCGACCGAUCCCGAAGCUCGCGGACGGAUUUGAGUAGGAGCGCGGCGGGUCUGACCCGAAAGAAGGUGAACUAUGCAUGAAUAGGGUGAAGCCAGAGGAAACUCUGGUGGAGGCUCGCAGCGGU